AAAUCUUUAUGCCACAUCUCACAUAACAUAGCAUUUUUAGGUCCGGUAAAUAGUCUAAAGACAAAGGGUUGGUGUUGUUUAGGAUUUAUUUUUGGUUGUUCACUUUGUUUAAUCUAAUACAGGCCUUCUUUAUGCUUCUCUUGCAACAGAAUUUUGCGCGAGGCUUUGUCCUUAACAAAACAACUAAGAGAAUUAAAUUCAACGUCAACAUUAUUUAAGACAACAAGCUUUGAAAGACUAAUCAAGUUCUU
This 251-nucleotide long non-coding RNA is filed under the name Carica papaya (papaya). RNAcentral's name for it is "long non-coding RNA (CPAP_LNC010117)". The record is from RNAcentral. Lineage: Eukaryota; Viridiplantae; Streptophyta; Magnoliopsida; Brassicales; Caricaceae.